GCUUCACCCAGGCUCGCGCCCAAGGCUGCGUCGCGAGCCCCGCGCCCCCCUACUCGCCGGCGCCUCGCGCUCGCGCCGGCGGCCGCGCAUCGGUGGUCCGCUUGAGCGCCAUCCAUUUUCAGGGCUAGUACCUUCGGCAGGUGAGUUGUUACACACUCCUUAGCGGGUUCCGACUUCCAUGGCCACCGUCCUGCUGUCUAGAGGUACCAACGCCUUUUGUGGUCUCUGAUGAGCGGACACUUGGGUACCUUAGCGCGGCGUUCGGUUCAUCCCGCAUCGCCAGUUCUGCUUACCAAAAAUGGCCCACUUUGAACGCGCCGUUCGCCGCGCGGGAUCACUCAAGCAUCCCGCGCCUCUUGCCCAUUUAAAGUUUGAGAAUAGGUUAAGGCUGUUUCAGCCCCAAGGCCUCUAAUCAUUCGCUUUACCUGACAAAACCGUCGGCGUUCAAGCUAUCCUGUGGGAAACUUCGGAGGGAACCAGCUACUAGAUGGUUCGAUUAGUCUUUCGCCCCUAUACCCAAGUUCGACGAACGAUUUGCACGUCAGUAUCGCUACGAGCCUCCACCAGAGUUUCCUCUGGCUUCACCCUCCUCAGGCAUAGUUCACCAUCUUUCGGGUCCCGACAGAUGUGCUCCACUCAAACCCUUCACAGAAGAUCAAGGUCGGUUGGCGCCGAACGCCCUUCACUUUCAUUCCGCACGCGGGCUUGCCACCCGGGUACUCGCACACGUGUCAGACUCCUUGGUCCGUGUUACUAGACGGGUCGGUUGCGCCCGUUCCGUCAGCCGACGCCAGGCGCGCGCCCCCCAGCCGAGCUCGCCGGAGCCCCACUCGGCCGUCUGUGGCGCCCGCCCAGCGCGAGCUGACCCGCGCCGACAAAGUGCACCGCCCAAGAGGGCGGCUGAGUCGACGGCGCGACACCGGGCGCAAACGGGUUUCCUCUUGCCGAUUUCAAGCACUCUUUAACUCUCUUUUCAAAGUUCUUUGCAUCUUUCCCUCACGGUACUUGUUCGCUAUCGGUCUCUCGCCAGUAUUUAGCUUUAGAUGGAAUUUACCACCCAAUUCAAGCUGCAAUCCCAAGCAACCCGACUCUGCAAGGGCGCAUCGUGCGACCGCGAACCGCCACGGCACAGGAUUCUCACCUUCUCCGAUACCCCGUUCCAGGGGAUUUGAGCGGCGGACGCGGCCGAUGGCGCCUUUCUAGACUACAAUUCGGGGGGUCGUCGUGAAAGAGACCUCCAGAUUGGCGGCGUGAGCUCUGCCCGCUUCAUUCGCCAUUACUAGGGGCAUCCUGGUUAGUUUCUUCUCCUCCGCUUAGUGAUAUGCUUAAGUUCAGCGGGUAGCCUUGCUUCAUUCGAUGGCGGAUGUGUGGGGGUUGAGCGCCUUCCCAAAGGACGACACUCAAUGGGUGGUCGAGCCGGCGAGCAAAAGAGCCCACCGACCCGACCGCGUCUUUGAGAGAUAAAAGCAGCGUUCGAGCCACAACGAUCAAGAGCUGCGAGAGCCUAACACGUCGGGGAACGCCGAUCGCAAGACCAGAAGGCCCGCGACCGACGCAACGCUGCCUCUCGGCGACGCUCGCUCCUUGAGCCGGCGCGAGAGACGUCCGGAGACGACCCGCGGCGGCCACGAUCGGACGCGUGCGCGAGGCGCGCGCCCAGGCGGGUGGAGGCGCCACUCGAAGAAACAUGCUCCCAGGCGGAACCUGGAAGCGCCAGUUGCGUUCAAAAGUUCGAUGAUUCACUGAAUUCUGCAAUUCGCAUUACGUAUCGCAUUUCGCUGCGUUCUUCAUCGUUGCGA
This 1799-nucleotide ribosomal RNA is filed under the name Prymnesium polylepis. Its description in RNAcentral is "Eukaryotic small subunit ribosomal RNA". Lineage: Eukaryota; Haptophyta; Prymnesiales; Prymnesiaceae. The record is from RNAcentral.